RNAcentral lists this long non-coding RNA (2915 nucleotides) under Medicago truncatula (barrel medic). Its description in RNAcentral is "lncRNA gene44230". The record is from RNAcentral. Lineage: Eukaryota; Viridiplantae; Streptophyta; Magnoliopsida; Fabales; Fabaceae.
AUUUACAAAGUCAACAAUAUAUGCUCCAAACAUGCUUCUGGGAGAAUUUGUUUCUCUCAAGGCCUAUUGGCUAUCCUAAUUCCUAACUCUAGGAAUUUCCCCAGUUAAAAAAAUUAGACUAGCUCAAAAGUCAACAAGAAUAGGCCUUAACUUUCAAAUAGGAAAGAAAAGUAUUGUCUCAAAACAAUGUGUUCAUGAAAACAUUAUGUAAUCAAAUUAUUCUAUCACUUGUCUUCUUCGGCACCACCACGAAUUCGACUCUGAAGAUGUUCCAAGCUAGCCACCCGUGGCAGGGAAUUUGUUCGUCCUAUCUUGUUCCCACCUGCUGGGGUGUUCUGCCCACUUUCAGCUGAAGAAAUAAUGCUUCCCGAUCUAUUAUUGGCUCCUCUCAUAUCAUGACUGGACAUAAGAUGAUUAGGUAAGGGUUGAAAAAAGUGAUUAUUUGGAUCUUCUUGCACAGGCACAGAUGCAUCAGCUGAUGAUUCAGAAGGACUUCCAUCAAAUAAUGACAUUCCCAUUGAUGAUACCUCAGACAUUGCAUUAAACACCGGGUUCGAUCCAGUAAAUCUUUUAACUGUCUCUUCAGCCAUCUUCACCUUAAAAUGAGAACAAUAUAAAGGGAAUAAAUGAGCAUGUCAGAUCAUUGCAAAUACACAUAAAUCAAUUGGAAAUGGAUUCCUUCUAGUUGGAAUAUCGCUGGAUUCACGCAAUCAGUGCAAUGGCUACUACUGGAUUCAGAUCGGACAUUUCACAAAAUAAGAAGAUUCUGAUUCUUCUUGAAAAUCCAAAGCACCGAGGUUGAAUCUCAAGCAUCCGAUCUUAAUCUAAGUAGUCACCAAUGUGCUGACUGCGUAAACUCAAGGCAUUCAAAUUGCAGAGAAUUUUGAUCCAAGUAGUAGGCUUCUAUAACCAGUUUUACUAGUAAAGUAGUUAAAUCAAGGACUUACCUUCGCUCUUAAUGUUUCAACAUCAGCUUUUAAUAUUCUGUUGUCAACAGCAGAAUUGUUGAAUUUUUGGGUCACAUCUGUUAAACGCUUUAACAAUGAAGAAUUUUCACCUCUUAAUUCAGAAACCUAAUAAGAUAGAAUAAUAUAUCAGAUAUCAGAUUUGAACGACUAAUUAAGAUGGACAUAGAGAUCAGAGAAGAAAAUGCAGAAGAAAUGGAUCUAAAAAAACAUGCAUGCUGACCUGUGUUUCAAGCUCAGUUAAAUGAGCUUGCUUUCUUCGUCUUGAGCGUCUAGCUGAUUCCCUAUUAGAGAGCAUCCUGAAAGGCAAUGUCAUUAGGCAUUAGGUACUGUUUGUGUAAAAUACUUAAUCAAGGGCUUAUAGCAUAAACACUUAUUAUACAAGUGUUUAUGUAUAAGCUAUUUCUAUAAUUAAGGAUAAAAUAAAAUUCAACUGUUUUUACAUAAGCUAUAAGUUGUUUUUGUAACUAUCAUAGAGAUUUCAUGGGAAUAAGCUGAAAACAGCUUACAGGCAUGUGUUGUUUCCACGAUCUCCCUCAAAUAAUUUCACAAGUGUUUUUGUUAGUACAUAAACUCAAAUAAGUCAAUGUCAAUCUAAACAGACCUUAAUUAUACAAUCGACUAAUUAGACCAGAAGAUUUCCUGUGCAAAACACAUCAAUUACCUUCUUACUCGUUUUGCAUCAGUAGGGUUGUCUCCAUUCAUAUUAAUCUCUCCAUCACCUUCCUCAUCGUCUGAUGAUCCACUUGUUGUUGACUUGAUUGUAACAGCUGGUUUCUUUGGCAUGCAAGGAACCCCAACAGCAACUUUGAUAUCUUUAUUUUGUAAUUUAGAUGGAUCAUUUCCAGAAGGGCCACAUUCUACAUAGGAAUCAAAUACAAAAGACAUAUGUUUUUACAUAUGCAGACAUGAACUUAAUAAACACAUACAAAUGUGUAUACCAAAAAACAAACCUUUCAAUGUAGCCAGAGGUCCAAGUUCAUAAGGAUAAGAUGGCUGUGAUCCAUUAUCAGGAUCCUGAGAUUUGACCAAAGAUCCCUGUUGCCAUGAGUAGUAAAAGAAAACAUUAGUAUUUCAUUUCAUAGUAAAUCACAACUGAUCAGAGUAACAACUAACAAGCACUCCUUAAAUUGAUUGACUUGACAAUUGUUUGGACGAGUAAUUUUUUGCUAUUAAGCUUACAUGAAAACCUAGUGGAAUGAAUGAAUCAUGCCAUUGGAUGAUGUCUAAUUCAACAAUACAAUGAUUUUGACCGAAUAUCCAAACAUACACGUUAGUCUUUUCCACCCAUGAAAGCAAAUUGCCACAAACAGAAAAUAUAUAGGAAAUUAAAUUGUAUCAGGCAAAAUCAUACCAACAAAAAAAAUAUGCAUGGUUUUGUCAAAAGUAUAUAUAUAUAUAUAUUAAAAAAGAGAAAGAUAUAUACCCUCGACUUAGCGACGGCGGCGCAAGCAAGAUCAAGCUUGGUCUUGAGAAGAGCCUGAUAAUCCUCUGAAUCAAUACUAUUAUUGAUUUUGAGAUUGACAUCAACGGUGGAAGAAGAAGUUGAAGUUGAAGUUGAUGAUGAAGAAGGCUUUGCAGUAGCAGCUUCUGCUUCUUCAGCAGCUUCUUGUUCACGUAAAAACUUUUGGAAAGCCCAUUCUGAAUCACUCCGAUUCAUCUUUGUGUCUCCUCCCUUGCACGCUUUCGAGGUCAACCAAUAUUGCUCCGUUAUUUCAGCAAUUGAUAACACUCUUUCCAUUUUCUUCUCUUUCUUUCUCACCUAUGUUAUAUAUAUGCUGCUAUUCUUUUCUGGCCAAGACACUGCUAAUAUAUUGUUAGCUUUAUUCUUCGGUAUUUAAAGUAAUCAUUAAAUAUGGAGAUUUUAUAUUGUCAUAUCUAUUUUAAAUCCAUGUUUGAAUUUGAUCCCUGUAUAUAAUAUGUAAUACUUAUCUUUUUUAUCGAUUAAAA